GCAAGACUAAAACUCAAAGGAAUUGACGGGGCCCGCACAAGCGGCGGAGCAUGCGGAUUAAUUCGAUGCAACGCGAAGAACCUUACCAAGGCUUGACAUAUAGAGGAAACGUGCAGAAAUGUACGCCCCGCAAGGUCUCUAUACAGGUGGUGCAUGGUUGUCGUCAGCUCGUUUCGUGAGAUGUUGGGUUAAGUCCCGCAACGAGCGCAACCCUCGUCCUAUGUUGCCAGCACGUAAUGGUGGGAACUCAUGGGAGACUGCCGGGUUCAACUCGGAGUAAGGUGGGGAUGACGUCAAAUCAUCAUGCCCCUUAUGUCUUGGGCUUCACGCAUGCUACAAUGGCCAGUACAAAGGGCUGCAAUACCGUAAGGUGGAGCGAAUCCCAAAAAGCUGGUCUCAGUUCGGAUUGAGGUCUGCAACUCGACCUCAUGAAGUCGGAGUCGUUAGUAAUCGCAGAUCAGCAACGCUGCGGUGAAUACGUUCC
Molecule: ribosomal RNA, 484 nt
Filed under: uncultured Actinomycetes bacterium
Lineage: Bacteria; Bacillati; Actinomycetota; Actinomycetes
Description: bacterial SSU rRNA
Rfam family: Bacterial small subunit ribosomal RNA
Source: RNAcentral